CAGACACACUUUGUGUUCAUGUGUCUAUCCUAUUCACACUAUAGCAACCAUGAGUAGCAGGUUUUUGUUUGGCUUUUCCACUACUGAUGGACGCGGACUGUUUACCUCAGGAAUAAAAUAAUGUUGGUGGGAAGCAAGAGGUCGGGACAGUAAGAGUUGUGUGUGCGUACACUGUGGUUGUGCUUCUGACACAGAGGCUGCUUUCCCUCUUGACAUAGCAUCAAGUAGCAUUUAGUAGUCCUCACACAUACAGAGAGCAAAGAUCAAGUUGCACCACUUUUUGCUCACACAACAGCAACAUAGACAGGAAGUGACAUCUGGAAUUACAAAUUCUGUUUUACUUGCAUUCGUUUUGUGCAAAUCUGUUGCUCCACCAGGGCAGAGAGAGCGAGGGAUUGGGGGUGAAAGGGUCACAUCCUUACGUUGGCUAUCUGUGUCAGCAUAAUCAUCACCAGUUGUUUAUAUGUGGUUCUGAUCUAGCUAGUGCAAUACAGAAACAACAGCUGGGAUAAAGCCCUUUCAUGGGGCUAAUGCUACACUAAAUGCCUAUGCUAUAUGUCUAAUAGAUUCAGAACCAGUAGAGUGCAGCAAUUAGUAAAGAAUUGGAGUGUGACACCAGUGGUGCAGAUAGGGACAAAUGGGGCCAGUAAACGUGUGCAAGAAACCAAUUUCCAAUGUGCAUUGACAGCAUGUUCACCAAAGUACUAGAGCUGUACUGCAGGCUAAUUCUAUAUCUAGGCCUUUAUUAAUUUGUGAAUUGUGAGUAAAGCCGGGUGGACACUAAGCGAUUUUGGCACCGAUAUGUUUGAGAUCGGUGACAAAAUCCCCAUAUUGUUGCCUACUCAGGGGGUGCGGCUGUCACCGACGCUCGUUGACGUCCCGAUAUUUUCAAAUAUGUUUGAUUUUAAAAAUCGGCACAAAAUCUGCAAUGCUCUUGUAAUGUGAGAUGUGCAACAACAAGUUUUGAGAACUGCAAUCAGCAAUUGGCAAUGAGAGCUCGUGACAAAAUCAGACGGAAGAGGUGGACGCUAGCUAGCGUAGCAUAAAAAUAACAUUGCUUCGAAGAGCUGGGAGCACUCCACGGUCUGUGGACACGAGAUGGAACGGAGGCUGGUGGAACUUUGGCAAGAUCACGAGUGCCUGUCCAAUGUCUCUUCUGAGUUUCACCACAACCGGACUGAAAAAGAAAAGAGCUGGAAAGACAUUGCCACUGCUCUUCAACAACCAGCGCGAUGUGAGGAUAAAGAUGCUGCAUGAGACAGAGGAUAACGUCAGAGACAUCUGAAAUGUCUUUCUCCACAUCACCAGUAGCUCUGUUAAGACCUGUGACGUUGACAAUUGACAUAUGAGCUAUUAAGCCUCAAUCACGACGUGGUACCCCUGUUGAGUGAAGUCCUUCUCCUGGCCCCUCGGAGAAUCCAUCCACCGCCAGCAGGAAGGAGACUGAAAAUAUGCCUUAGAAGAAACGCAGCAAAGAGAAGCAAUCGGAGCAGGACAGCUCCAGAAGCUUGUUUGUUUUAAGCGAAUGUCUGAAAAAGUACAGAAUAUUGGCGCCAAGCAGCCUGUUGACGCAGAGGUUACAUUUGGAAAUCAGGUGGCAGCUGAACUAAUAAAAAGACCCAUCAGUCAAAACAGCGGUCAAAAGAAACAUUAGGAUACUGUUAAUGACGCCCAAUGUGAGGUUAACAUUAGACCACCACCACCUUCAUAUCCACCACCAGCAGCAUCUCUCAGACACACACACACACACACACAGUACCUGCACAACCCCUACAUGCCACCUCAGAUUCGUGAGCCUCUAAGUUUUACUGGGAUGCAACACAAAGUCGAUCCCAGUAACAGUCAGUACAUUUACAUUACAUUUAAGUCAUUUGGCAGACGCUCUUAUCCAGAGCGACUUACAAAUUGGUGAAUUCACCUUAUGACAUCCAGUGGAACAGCCACUUUACAAUAGUGCAUCUAAAUCAUUUAAGGGGGGGGGGGGUGAGAAGGAUUACUUUAUCCUAUCCUAGGUAUUCCUUAAAGAGGUGGGGUUUCAGGUGUCUCCGGAAGGUGGUGAUUGACUCCGCUGUCCUGGCGUCGUGAGGGAGUUUGUUCCACCAUUGGGGGGCCAGAGCAGCGAACAGUUUUGACUGGGCUGCAAGGCCCCAUGCUUGUACUUGUGUUUACAAAUAGCCUACACAAUUUUUUACAAUAUGCAUUUCUGAGGACAGCCUUUGCAGAGGUAACCUUUUCAGGAUCGAAUGUGACUGGCACUCAGUUUUCAAUAUGUCGCCUCUGGUGCUGAAGUACUCAAAUUCUUUUCAAAAUGUUUACACUGGUACUGGACGACUACAUUUUUAUAGUUUAAGGUGUAAAUAAGAAAGGAAUGUUGACCUAGUUUUAUGGUUGUUCCGUUUUGUAUUCAGUUUAGUGUGUUUUGAAAGCUCAGGUGGAAUGUUCUAAAAGUUAAGUGUGGUGUAGGUACACUAGAAUGUGUCAUUUGCAGGUUGGAACUACUUUCAAUAAAUGUUUGAAACAUG
This is a long non-coding RNA of Oncorhynchus masou masou (cherry salmon), 2522 nucleotides long. RefSeq lists it as uncharacterized. Lineage: Eukaryota; Metazoa; Chordata; Actinopteri; Salmoniformes; Salmonidae. The transcript has 2 exons. The record is from RefSeq and is a predicted model, not a curated record.